UUUUGACUUUACCAUUACUACCUUUUCACCACAGGCAAAAUUUGUGGCAAAACUUAUCUUGACACAGGCUUAUAGAUUCAUGUGUCUUUGAUAUUUUUUUUUCCAUAUGUAUUUGAUUUUUGUGUAUCAUUUUGCACCUCUGUAAUCACAAAUUUUAGUGAAAGAUUAAGUGGGGAUGAGGGAAAAGUCUGCUAAUUUGAGGAGUGGCCUAUGAUGAGGUCUUCAAAUACAACACCUUUAAACAUGAUAAAUGCUUCUCCAGAUUUCAUUCCUAGAUUAGUCAUGUGACAAAUUUACCGUUUUUUAAGUAUUGUCUUUGGAAAAAGACACUUCAAAUCACACACAAUCAAGUGUAAAAUUACUGUGUCAAUUAAGGGAAAAAUGCAGCUUUUGUGGAAUAGGAGGAAGGGAGAGAGGAGUACAUGUUGACAGAGUACUUCCUUCCCCCCACCAUUUGCUGUCUUCCAAGGUUUCUUCACCCUCUUUCCCGCUUGCAUUGAAGUGGCACAGGAAGCAGAUAGAAUUUCAUAAUCAUUUUUUAAUGUAUCAUAUCAGAAUCUCUUCAUCUUUACUGUGAGCUUUUGGAAAAGCACCUGUCUUGGAUGCUGCAUUUUAAUUACCUCUUCAAUAAGCAAGAUGAAGGUGUCAUCUUCAGUACUAAGAAGGAAUCUUCAGACACACAUAUCCCUUAUUUAGGGUGGUAGAAUGGCAGUGAAAAUGCAAGAAGUCCCCUUUCAAACUCUUGUGCAAGCCAGCAGCAACCACCAACUCCUCAAAAACCUUAAAAAGUCUGAAUUCUGUUCCAGCAGGAUGUGAUAUGUUGGUGUGGACUUUACUCUCCAGGGCAGUAAUUUUGAAACUAUUUUGAACUGAUUGGUGCUUUAAAUAAUUUCAAGCUUCACGUUUAUGGUGAAGUUUAAUGAUUCCUAAGGCUUUGAUACGUGUGCACUUACGUGUGCAGCUACCCAGGCUGUAUUUUAAGGCCUCUUAGCACACAAGUGGCUUGUAAUCGGAGCUUUUAAUACUGAUCUCUGUGUAACUGUAAGUAGAAUUUUCAUUUCCACUUAACGUAGGAGAACAAAAGAAACCUGAUGGGAAGAGAACUGACACUUGAGAAUGAUGGUUCAUUUUCUAUGGUUCAUUCUAAGUGCAACCGAAUAUUCAUUUCAAAAACAUUGCCGCUUCAGCUUAGGAAAUACUGAAGCUGUUUGUGCACCACAACUGAAUGCAGAUGGUGAUGGGCAGAAGUAAGAGCCUGCAAGGAGUUUCUUGGGUCAUUGCCUGUUAAAAGGAGGAAUGGGACUUAGGUACAUUAUAUAAUCUCUUUGCAAAGUGGUCAAGCUGUUUUCCAGAACAGUUUUAUCUUUCAUCCUUUUUGAGUCAGUCUGAUGUGUUUUGGCAUUGCUUGCGAAUAGUUUGCAAUUUACACAUCAUCUCUACUUCUAUUUAUAUUUUGUGUACUGAUAACCAGGUCAUUCUGAAUUAGUAGAUCAGAGAUUCUGCCUCUCUUUCUCAGUCCCUUUUAUUUCUCAUCCUGCCUUUCUCUUAACCUUUAUCUCUGUUCUGGGUUUACCGAUUAUAUUAUUGCACUAAAGAAUAUAGGAAUGCAUGGUAGUUCAUGUAGAAACAAAUGUGUACUGCUGUAUGCAGAUCCAUUUUAAAUGGAUGCAAACUCACAAAGUAGCAUGCAGAAAUAAUUAGGCUUUACCUAAGUGUAGGGUCAAUUAAUUUAGUUUUUCUAGCUUUUCCAGCUGAUACUCAGCAUGUCUGGCUUUAAUAGUGAGCAGUUUUGGCCAGAACCAGAAUGAUGUUUACCCUGUCUCCUUUGUUCAGUCUGUUUACUCUGGACUUGUGCAGUAAUUCUGGAGUGCACACAUUCACUCUAAAGGAGAUUUACAGUAAAUUUUCUAUGCUGAGGCUUGGCUUAUCUGCCUUUCUGCACUUCAGGUGCCCAUACAAUUUCCAUCUUUUGCCCUUAUUCUUUCAAGUUAAUUUCACAUGUCAUUGUUUAGAGGCAUUAGGACAUGUCCAGUGCAUCCCCAUUUUCCUUUGCUCACACAUUCACUUUCAAUUGACCAAUUGGCUGUGGAGUAUCUGCCAGCAAAUUUGGGGAGUCCUUUUCAGGGUAGGUUCACAAGCAUGCAGUGAAGAGGUGGUUUACUCUUGGACUGCUUCAGAUGCUUUCUGUGGUAGUCAUUUGUAUGUAAUUGGAACUGUGAAAUGUGAGUUAUACUGUGCAACUUGAACUAUGCUUUCAGGGUUUCUAUGCUUUCAGGUUUUGAAAUCUUCAGUCUCUCUAUUGAAAUUAUGUUGAAAUUAGAGGUUAAUAUAUGUGAAGUUGACCACAUGUUAGAACUUUGAAACAUCAUAUGCUUAAUGAUUUAUUUUUAAUCUACUUUCCACAAGAUGAAGUGCAAAUUAUCCUUUAGUUAGAGAGAAUUGUCCUAUUUCUAAAGACUUAAGAGUGAUUUUGUCCAUUCAGGUUGAUGCACAUUCAAAGGUGAAUAUGUUGAGUUCUCUGAGAUUCACUGAAGUGAUCUGAUAAAAAGGUUUUACAGAAAAAGAGGCAGGGCAAAGGGACAGGCAGUUCUGUGCCAGUUUCUUAAAUGAAAAAACAUAUUAGCAAUUUAGCAAAAACUGCUCCUAAAGGCAGCCGACUUCUGUGUCAGUGUGAUAAAGAAGCUAAAAAGAAGGAAAAUUGUAAUUGUUGUAUCAAAACUCUGCUGCUGCUGCUUACUCAUCUGUUAAAAGCAGUCAGUAUCAGGAAGGGUUUUGAUGGUACCCUGCUGCUAUGUCAGUGUAACACAUGCUUCAGGCGCUUGCAUCCGCACUGCAUUCCAGGUCAUUGAUCAGACUCGGCGGGCAAAAUACUGGGAGCUACAUGACAAAUCUUUGACUCACAGCUGGGCCCACUACUACGUAUCAUAGUAAAUGAGUCAGUUAAACAUCACUAGUUUAGCAAGCGUGAAGGGGG
This is a long non-coding RNA of Neopsephotus bourkii (Bourke's parrot), 2974 nucleotides long. RefSeq lists it as uncharacterized. The transcript is spliced from 2 exons. The record is from RefSeq and is a predicted model, not a curated record. NCBI's taxonomy places the organism in Eukaryota, Metazoa, Chordata, Aves, Psittaciformes, Psittacidae.